AGUCAGAUCCCGGCAGGGAGUCACCUGUUAACCGGUCACGACACACGGGUCCGAGUAGAGAGUAGAUGACAGAAGUUUCUCGAACUUUCUUGCCCGUCCUCCGUCGCUUUCUGGGACCCGCGCGAUGUUUUUCCUCGAUGAUAAUAAUAACACGUCGCUAGAUUGAUUUGCUGUAUAAAAACUCAAAAGUAUAUUGUAAAACAAAACCAUAUUGAAAAAAAAAAAUAAUUUCAGAGAUGUUUUACAGUAGUCUGAAACACAACAUCCGGUCUGAUCACCUGGCUACAGGUAACGUGACGUCAGUGCUUUAGCCACGCCCUACAGUUUUCAUUUGAGCGGAGUUAGCGGAGUGUCACGCUUCUGUGCAGUAAUCCGCUCAUAACAGCGUCGAAGAUGAGCCACGCUCUGCUAGUUAUUUUCUCUCUCAUCAUCGCCAGUGCUGCUGAGUUUCGCCGAUGCUCUCCCCGAUGGCUUAACGCCAGUCAAGUUAAAGUCAGCUGUAGCGACGUCCAGAUUGCACAGUACUGUGAUCCUGAUCAGAGCUGUCGACACACGAGCAAGCCCGGGGUCUCGCUGGAGAAGCACAGGGAAAGAGGACUCUGCCUAACCAUCACCAACUGCUCCUACGAGUCGUGGUCCUGCGAAGCACUGAGUUACAUCCAUGCCGAAGAAUUUGGGGAGACUUUUACUGUCCACGUGACGUGCAACCAACCUACUAGCACGUUGCCCAGUCCAGGACCUACAAGCACUUCAGCAACUUCAGGAUCUGCCAGCACUUUGCCCAGUCCAGGCAAUAAUGAGUCACAGUCAGAGUCUCUUUCAGCUGGGGUCAUUGUGCUGAUCAUCUUUGGGCUGAUCAUCUUUGUGCUUUGCAUCUGUUACAAGAAGGUGAAGUGCUUCAGGAAAGCCAUUCGUGACAUCUUCCGAGUUAUAUACUGUAAUCUUGUGUAACGUUACUAGAACAUGCUAACUAGUUUUCAGUCAGCGGCUAAUAAAACAAGCGCAGGGAAACGACAGAACGGACAGUUACUUCUGUCAUCAACAAAGUAUCAAUAGGACUCCUAGAGAAGAGCAUUUGGUGAUUUGGAAGGCGGGAAGAAAAUCAUGGUGUAAAGUAAUGAUUAAGAAAAACCUACUCCGGGAAUACAACAUGAAGGAGAUCUCUUCUGCCUCCUCAACUUGAAUAUGAUGUGCAAUAGUUAAGUUAAGUGAUAUCCUGGCAUACAAGGCAGUCAACAGACCAUUGUCUUGUUGUAGAGGUCUGCAUGAGAGGUCAUCCCACCUGUACUCAGCAAUCAUAAUCCCGUGCCAAACUGUUGGGUCAGAUCCCAUGGAUGUGCCUUCAAACCUCUACCUUGGUAAACCUACCAGAAGUCUCAAAGUUCUUCUAGAACAGGGUUUUUCUACAUUUUAUGUUUACCUCUGCAACAAAGUCAUGAUAAGCUAAAGUACAUUUUACUCUGCAUAAGAGUGUCUGGCAAAUACUUCUGUUUAUAUAUACUGUGUAUUACGCCACUGUGUUUGAUUGUUACAUGACUGGUUUUGGAAUCAGCAAAGGGACAGUAUUGUAAUCUUGUGCCAUCCUGAGGAGGAGGGCUUCUCCACCCGAACAUCUCCUAAGGUGUAUUCCUCUGUAACUAAACCUUGUGGGGAGUUUUUUGGCUUCUGUCACCUUUGGCUUCUUCACUGGGGGACACAAAGACCACAGUAUGUAUUUUAAGAAGUGCUGCUUAAAAUGUAUUUAUAAAUAUUCAGUAUUUUAGUUUUU
RNA transcript from Sinocyclocheilus grahami, 1768 nucleotides. RefSeq lists it as uncharacterized. Lineage: Eukaryota; Metazoa; Chordata; Actinopteri; Cypriniformes; Cyprinidae. The record is from RefSeq and is a predicted model, not a curated record. The transcript is spliced from 6 exons.